CCUACGGGAGGCAGUAGUGAGGAAUAUUGGUCAAUGGACGCAAGUCUGAACCAGCCAUGCCGCGUGCAGGAAGACGGCUCUAUGAGUUGUAAACUGCUUUUGUACGAGGGUAAACGCAGAUACGCGUAUCUGUCUGAAAGUAUCGUACGAAUAAGGAUCGGCCAACUCCGGGCCAGCAGCCGCGGUAAUACGGAGGAUUCAAGCGUUAUUCGGAUUUAUUGGGUUUAAAGGGUGCGUAGGCGGUCGGAUAAGUUAGAGGUGAAAUCCCGAGGCUCAACUUCGGAAUUGCCUCUGAUACUGUACGGCUAGAGAGUAGGUGCGGUAGGCGGAAUGUAUGGUGUAGCGGUGAAAUGCUUAGAGAUCAUACAGAACACCGAUUGCGAAGGCAGCUUACCAAGCUACUUCUGACGUUGAGGCACGAAAGCGUGGGGAGCAAACAGGAUUAGAUACCCCAGUAGUC
This 460-nucleotide ribosomal RNA is filed under the name uncultured bacterium. RNAcentral describes it as "partial 16S ribosomal RNA". It matches the Rfam family "Bacterial small subunit ribosomal RNA", at positions 338 to 795 of the family's 1533-position model. The record is from RNAcentral.